GAUGAACGCUGGCGGCGUGCCUAAUACAUGCAAGUCGAGCGAACAGCUCAGGAGCUUGCACCUUUGACGUUAGCGGCGGACGGGUGAGUAACACGUCGGUCACCUACCUGUUAGACUGGGGUAACUUCGGGAAACAGCAGAUAAUACCGCAUAACAAUUGGAACCGCACGGUUUUAAAGUGAAAGAGGGUUUUGCUAUCACGUUUGGAGGGUACCGCCCCGCCUUAGCUAUUUGGUAAGGUAACGGCGUACGAAGGAGACGAUACGUUGCCGACGUGAUAGGGUGAUCGGCCACAUCGGAGGUGAUGCGCGCUCCAGACUCCGACGGGAGGCAGCUGCAGGCAAUCUUCCGCAACGGGCGAAAGCCGGACGGAGCAGCGCCGCGGGGGGGAUGAAGGGGUCCGGCGCGUAAAACUCUGUUAUUAGGGAAGAAGAAACGUGGAAGUAACUUUGCACGUCUUGACGGUACCUAAACAGAAAGCCACGGCUAACUACGUG
RNAcentral lists this ribosomal RNA (497 nucleotides) under uncultured bacterium. RNAcentral's name for it is "partial 16S ribosomal RNA". It matches the Rfam family "Bacterial small subunit ribosomal RNA", at positions 28 to 507 of the family's 1533-position model. The record is from RNAcentral.